UUUUUUUACCCCUGGAAGGUCAAUUUGGUAAUUUAAUAUCCCGCUUCAAAUAUUCCCGCUCGCGCUUUCCCACUAAUGUGGAACCGCGACGACAGGAGAGGCGACGCCCAUGUCCUCCUCCUCCUCCUCCUCGGUCUUCGCCUCCACUGCUGUAAGAUCCUUCUCUGAUCGCCUCUGGACCCGCGAAGAGAGGAUCUGCUUCUCCCUCCUCCGCGGCGCCUCCCCGUGCCUCUCUCCUCUCCUCCAAAUCCACGCCUUCCUCCUCCGCCAUGGCCUCCUCCACUCUAACCUCCCCCUCCUCACCCGCCUCAUCUCCUCGCUCUCCGCCGCCCCCUCGGCCCUCCGCCACGCUCGCCGUGUCUUUGACCGCCGCGCCGCCCAGGACGACGCCCUCUGCGUCGCAAUGCUCCGCGCCCUCGUCCGUCGCCGCCUCUUCAGCGAUGCCCUCUUCCUCUACCGCGACCUCCGGCGAGGCCCUUCGCCGCCCAAUUGCUCUCCCUUCUCGCCCGAUGAGUACACCUUCCCCUUGCUCCUCAAGUCCGCCGCCGCGCUCUCGGAGGGGCGGAGAGAAGGGGAGCAGCUCCAUACCCAUGUGAUCAAAAUGGGUUUCUUCUGCGACACAUUCGCCUCCACCGCAUUGCUUGAUAUGUACACGAAAGCAGGCGAUAUGGACACUGCUAAGAAGGUGUUCGAUGAAAUGCCUCAUAGAAGCUUAGCAUCAUGGACUUCGAUGGUUGUUGGUUAUGCUAGAUACGGUGAAGUUAGCUCGGCUAUGGAGCUGUUUGCUUUGAUACCUGAUAAGGAUACAGCGGCAUUCAACGCUAUGAUCGAUGUUUUCACCAAAUUGGGCGAUAUGGAAUCGGCCCACCGGCUGUUUGAACAGGUGCCGGAGGGAAAUGUGGUGUCCUGGACUAGUUUGAUAUGUGGGUAUUGCAAGACUGGGAAUACGGAGGCUGCGAGAGACCUGUUUGAUCAAAUGCCCGUAAGAAAUCUCUACUCUUGGAAUGUGAUGAUUGGUGGGUACUGCCAGAAUAGGCAGUCACAGCAGGCUCUGGAUCUUUUCAGAGAACUGCAGUCCAAUUCAUGUCCAUUUGAGCCGGACGCAGUGACGCUUGUGAGCAUCAUCCCUGCAAUCUCCGACAUGGGUGCGAUCGAUCUUGGUCGUUGGAUACACAACUACGCAAAAAGGAAGGGUUUCGACCAGAGGACUAAUAUAGUCACCGCACUCGUUGACAUGUACGCAAAAUGCGGAGACAUCUGCGAGGCAAAGCAUCUGUUCAACCAAUUGCCAAACAAGGAAAUCGCUUCCUGGAAUGCUGUGAUCAAUGGGUUUGCCCUAAAUGGCCUUGCCGAAGAGGCGCUUGACGUGUUUAAUGAAAUGCGGAGGAGAGGGUUCUCCCCAAAUGGCGUGACGAUGAUCGGGGUCCUAUCAGCCUGCGGCCAUGCGGGCCUUGUCGAAGAAGGGAGAAAGUGGUUUAGGGAGAUGGAAAUGUUGGGUGUUUGUAAGAGAGUGGAACAUUACGGUUGCAUGGUGGACCUUUUGGGACGAGGUGGGUAUUUAGACGAAGCCGAGAAGUUGGUCGACGAAAUGCCCUUUGGAGUCAACGGGAUAGUUUUAAGCUCGUUGCUAUUUGCUUGCGGGUGUUACGGGGAUGUUGCGAGGGCAGAGAGGGUGAUGAAGAGGGCAGAAGAGAUUGAACCCGGGAAUGCGAGGAAUUAUGUGAUAAUGAGGAAUCUUUAUGCCGGGAAGAAGCGGUGGGGAGAUGUGGAAAGGGUCAAGGAAGAGGUGAGGAAGUUGGGGGGCAAAAGGGAGGCUGGGUGUAGUGUUGUGGAGGUUGGAAACAGGGUUUGGGAGUUUGUCUCAGGUGACAGAGCUUUUUCUGAUUGGGAGGCUGUGUACAGUUUGUUAAGGUGCCUUCAACUAGAAAUGAAAGGCCAAAGAGAAGAGGAGUGGGAAUCUCAGUUCACUGCUUGUUAAGAAGCUCAUUUCUUUUUCUUCAUUAAUGCUUAAAAUGCACUGGAAAAGAUGAAAAGCACAAGGCCAAGGAGAAUAUGGAGGAGAAAGUAAGGAUUUCAAAUCGCAGAAUACGGCCAGCCAGUUUAGCAGAUGGAUAUUUCAAGCGAUAAGUCGAACAGUUUGUCUGAGAGAAUUGUGCUGAGAUUUGUUCAUUUCAUUUUCAAAAUACACAUGAAAGUCAAUACGCAAAAAUAGAAGAAUAUACACCAGAUUGUUCUGCUCUGAAGAACGCCGCCCCAGGUUCCUUGUGCAGCUCUUUUAACAGAGGGGAUUCAGAUCACAGGGACUGCGCAUUUACCCAUUCUCCCAUCUGGUAAGUUGUGUACCUGUGAUUUUACCCACGCAACUAAUGCGAUUUUACAAUUUUACGAUCUUUUACUUUUCGGUUCAGUUCACAUGCAUAGUACAUGUUCGUCUCCUGGAGCUCGUUAUUAUUAUUAUACGAAAUUAACGUCGAGCAGGUCCGCUAUCAUUAUCUACUUGGAGCUCCUCAUUGCACCGAAAUAAUCAAUAUUGGUACUGAGCAUUUAUAUAUUAUCUGUGCCGUACUAAACUCGGUUGCGAAUCAAUUAAAUGACAAGAGAUAAUGCUCCGUGCACUCUAACGACUAUGGUACACCCAGUUAAGAAGCACCAGGAAACUUUCUACGGGAGAAGCUUCUGUAAGAAGCAAGAGUGGCUUAUUAGCGGGUAUUUGGUUUCUUGAAGAAACAUAAAAAGAUCGUUAUCUAAAAAAAAAAAUUCUAUAAAAAAUUAUUAUUUAAAAAUCAAAUUAGAUAAAAAAUAAUUUUACAGCUAGAAAAUUAUUUUCCUUUUAAAGAAUACUCUCAACUAAUAACCUUCCCAGCCCCCCCCCCGCACGGUUAAACUCGUUUGAAAUGUAUGACAUCAUGACACGUGGCAUCUCCAGUUGGUUCAAAGAAUAAUAAAUAAAUAAAUAAAUAAAUAAAUAAAUAAAUAAAAGUUUCUUACAUUGGGGUUUUCGCGGUCCUCAAAAUAUCGCACCUGGUGUACGCUUACCGACCGUGGGCGGUGAUUUUAACCACUCUAAUGAUGUUGGUGUACGCCCUCUUCAAAGAAACCGUAUUUCGUAACACGGGCCACGAGGCGCGUGUACGGUUAUGUCACCGGGACCCCGGGAAGCGGUGACACUAAAUACCCCUCUCUCCUCGACGAACACGCUCCCAUGCUCUCUCCUCUACCACAGGUCCACACUCGUCGCCCCUCUCGGACGAGGAAGAGAGGUUGGGGGAAAAAGAAUCCCCUCGUCCCCGCUCGAUUCCGAUCGAAGAGGAGCCCUAAAUUCUAGAAGGAUUGGGGCGAUAAUGGCGAUUCAACUGUCGAAGGCCGUUUCUCUCCUCCUCGUCGUCGUCGUCUUCGUCCUCUCAAUCCAAGCCUCGUCCUCGAUCCCCUUCAUUGUCUUGCAUGGAAUUGGGGAUCAGUGCGUGAACAAAGGGGUGACGCAGUUCACGGAGCUUCUGAGCGAGUGGUCUGGCUCUAAGGGAUACUGCUUGAUUCUGCUCUGAUGACUUGGAAUGGAUUAACCAGUAUCC
Molecule: RNA transcript, 3569 nt
Organism: Ananas comosus (pineapple)
Lineage: Eukaryota; Viridiplantae; Streptophyta; Magnoliopsida; Poales; Bromeliaceae
Gene name: palmitoyl-protein thioesterase 1
Exons: 4
Source: RefSeq, a predicted model, not a curated record